UGCAAGUCGAACGAGAGCGACCGGUGCUUGCACUGGUCAAUCUAGUGGCGAACGGGUGAGUAACACGUGGGUAACCUGCCCAUCAGAGGGGGAUAACAUUCGGAAACGGAUGCUAAAACCGCAUAGGUCUUCGAACCGCAUGGUUCGAAGAGGAAAAGAGGCGCAAGCUUCUGCUGAUGGAUGGACCCGCGGUGCAUUAGCUAGUUGGUGAGGUAACGGCUCACCAAGGCCGUGAUGCAUAGCCGACCUGAGAGGGUGAUCGGCCACAUUGGGACUGAGACACGGCCCAAACUCCUACGGGAGGCAGCAGUAGGGAAUCUUCCGCAAUGGACGCAAGUCUGACGGAGCAACGCCGCGUGAGUGAAGAAGGUUUUCGGAUCGUAAAACUCUGUUGUUAGAGAAGAACAAGUGCUAGAGUAACUGUUAGCACCUUGACGGUAUCUAACCAGAAAGCCACGGCUAACUACGUGCCAGCAGCCGCGGUAAUACGUAGGUGGCAAGCGUUGUCCGGAUUUAUUGGGCGUAAAGCGAGCGCAGGCGGUUCCUUAAGUCUGAUGUGAAAGCCCCCGGCUCAACCGGGGAGGGUCAUUGGAAACUGGGGAACUUGAGUGCAGAAGAGGAGAGUGGAAUUCCAUGUGUAGCGGUGAAAUGCGUAGAUAUAUGGAGGAACACCAGUGGCGAAGGCGACUCUCUGGUCUGU
This 700-nucleotide ribosomal RNA is filed under the name uncultured bacterium. Its description in RNAcentral is "bacterial SSU rRNA". It matches the Rfam family "Bacterial small subunit ribosomal RNA", at positions 56 to 737 of the family's 1533-position model. The record is from RNAcentral.